Long non-coding RNA from Cyprinus carpio carpio, 911 nucleotides. Lineage: Eukaryota; Metazoa; Chordata; Actinopteri; Cypriniformes; Cyprinidae. The record is from Ensembl.
GCAGACAGGCUGAGUUUCGUGUGGCUGCAUGUGUGUUGAUCUGAUCUGAUGUCUGCGGGGAAACAAGAGCACGGCCGUGUCGUGAUAACCUAGAGCCACGUCCAGUGCUGAUGAAGACUGUGCUAAAGUACCCGCUCUGACCAGAUCACUAUCAUACGGCCAGGCCAGACGGAAAGGUCGUGGCCUGACCUAAAUGACGGGGCACAGGAAGCAAUUACGAUAAGCUUUUAAAUGCAAUUAUUUGUGUAUUUCAUGUGUCAGUUUCAGAGGGAGAGCAGAGGCGGGUGACGUCACGUGACCUGUGUCAAACUCACAACACGAGUUCAGAAGACGUUCUGUGUGAUGUGCAGAGCUGCUGAGGAAUUCAUGUGAAGCUGUUUGGACUCUCAUUCUGACGGCACCCAUUCACUCCAGAGGAUUCAUUAGUGAGCAAGUGAAGGAAUACUACAUUUCUCCAGAUAUGAUGAAGAAACAAACUCAUCUACAUUUUUGGAUGGCCUGAAUGGACAUUUUUAAUGUGGAUCUUGAUAAUGGAGAUGAGUGAGUGCUGUGGAGCUGUCAGGGGAAUGAGAUCAGACACACCUGCUGUGAAUUGUCAAGCGAUGCCCUUGAGCCUCACUAUUCGUAUUUUUCUUUAUUCCAAGGCUGCUUCUUCAUGCUGUGAAGAAAGAGAGAAUAAACUCGGUCACGGUGAGUGGGUUGCAGUUCUGAAGCUCAGCUUUUGGAAACACUACACAUCCAUGGAGACGUUGGUUGCUUGAGAUGUUUGGGAUGGUCUGAACAACAAACAUAAUUCCAUGCAAUAGAAUCACCUAUUAUGUUUUCAUACCACAUUAGCAGUCAGGAGUUUAGACACACCUUGUCAUUUCUUAUGAUAAUUAUUAUCAGUAUUUUGAAAUAAUGAACCCCAC